Molecule: ribosomal RNA, 373 nt
Filed under: uncultured organism
Description: partial 16S ribosomal RNA
Rfam family: Bacterial small subunit ribosomal RNA
Source: RNAcentral
GUAGGUGGCAAGCGUUGUCCGGAAUUAUUGGGCGUAAAGCGCGCGCAGGCGGUUCUUUAAGUCUGAUGUGAAAGCCCACGGCUCAACCGUGGAGGGUCAUUGGAAACUGGAGAACUUGAGUACAGAAGAGGAAAGCGGAAUUCCACGUGUAGCGGUGAAGUGCGUAGAGAUGUGGAGGAACACCAGUGGCGAAGGCGGCUUUCUGGUCUGUAACUGACGCUGAGGCGCGAAAGCGUGGGGAGCAAACAGGAUUAGAUACCCUGGUAGUCCACGCCGUAAACGAUGAGUGCUAAGUGUUAGGGGGGUUUCCGCCCCCCUUAGUGCUGCAGCUAACGCAUUAAGCACUCCGCCUGGGAGUACGGCCGCAAGGCUG